Molecule: ribosomal RNA, 579 nt
Filed under: uncultured bacterium
Lineage: Bacteria
Description: bacterial SSU rRNA
Rfam family: Bacterial small subunit ribosomal RNA
Source: RNAcentral
CCUACGGGAGGCAGCAGUAAGGAAUAUUGGACAAUGCUCGCAAGAGUGAUCCAGCCAUGCCGCGUGCAGGAAGACGGCCCUAUGGGUUGUAAACUGCUUUUGAACUAGAGAAAACCCUCCUACGUGUAGGAGGCUGAUAGUAUAGUUAGAAUAAGCAUCGGCUAACUUCGUGCCAGCAGCCGCGGUAAGACGAAGGAUGCAGGCGUUAUCCGGAUUCAUUGGGUUUAAAGGGAGCGUAGGUGGACUGAUAAGUCAGUGGUGAAAUCUCUCGGCUUAACCGAGAAAUUGCCAUUGAUACUGUUGGUCUUGAGUACAGUUGCUGUGGGCGGAAUAUGACAUGUAGUGGUGAAAUACAUAGAGAUGUCAUAGAACACCGAUUGCGAAGGCAGCUCACAAAGCUGUAACUGACACUGAGGCUCGAAAGUGCGGGGAUCAAACAGGAUUAGAUACCCUGGUAGUCCGCACCGUAAACGAUGAUUACUCGCUGCUGGGAGGUAACUUUCAGUGGCUUAGCGAAAGCGAUAAGAAUCCACCUGGGGAGUACGCCGGNAACGGUGAAACGUUAAAGGAAUUGACCGG